Molecule: ribosomal RNA, 495 nt
Filed under: uncultured bacterium
Lineage: Bacteria
Description: partial 16S ribosomal RNA
Rfam family: Bacterial small subunit ribosomal RNA
Source: RNAcentral
UGAACGCUGGCGGCGUGCCUAAUACAUGCACGUCGAGCGAACGGACGAGAAGCUUGCUUCUCUGAUGUUAGCGGCGGACGGGUGAGUAACACGUGGAUAACCUACCUAUAAGACUGGGAUAACUUCGGGAAACCGGAGCUAAUACCGGAUAAUAUUUUGAACCGCAUGGUUCAAAAGUGAAAGACGGUCUUGCUGUCACUUAUAGAUGGAUCCGCGCUGCAUUAGCUAGUUGGUAAGGUAACGGCUUACCAAGGCAACGAUGCAUAGCCGACCUGAGAGGGUGAUCGGCCACACUGGAACUGAGACACGGUCCAGACUCCUACGGGAGGCAGCAGUAGGGAAUCUUCCGCAAUGGGCGAAAGCCUGACGGAGCAACGCCGCGUGAGUGAUGAAGGUCUUCGGAUCGUAAAACUCUGUUAUUAGGGAAGAACAUAUGUGUAAGUAACUGUGCACAUCUUGACGGUACCUAAUCAGAAAGCCACGGCUAACUACGUG